This 496-nucleotide ribosomal RNA is filed under the name uncultured bacterium. RNAcentral describes it as "partial 16S ribosomal RNA". It matches the Rfam family "Bacterial small subunit ribosomal RNA", at positions 28 to 507 of the family's 1533-position model. The record is from RNAcentral.
GACGGACGCUGGCGGCGUGCCUAAUACAUGCAAGUCGAGCGCCGAAGGUUGGUACUUGUACCAAUUGGAUGAGCAGCGAACGGGUGAGUAACGCGUGGAGAAUCUGCCUUUGAGCGGGGGACAACAUCUGGAAACGAAUGCUAAUACCGCAUAAAAACUUUAAACACAAGUUUUAAGUUUGAAAGAUGCAAUUGCAUCACUCAAAGAUGAUCCCGCGUUGUAUUAGUUAGUUGGUGAGGUAAAGGCCCACCAAGGCAAUGAUACGUAGCCGACCUGAGAGGGUGAUGGGCCACAUUGGAACUGAGACACGGUCCAAACUCCUACGGGAGGCAGCAGUGGGGAAUUUUGGGCAAUGGGCGAAAGCUUGACGGAGCAACGCCGCGGGGGUGAUGAAGGUUUUCGGAUCGUAAAACCCUUUUGUUGGGAAAGAACAUAGGUGGAGUUAAAAACCCAUGCAGUGACGGUAACUAACCAGAAAGCGACGGCUAACUACGUG